CGUGGACACCUUCAUGUUUGGUGGCACGAGGCAGUCAUUGCUUAACCCUGCUUAAAGAUCAACGACUGGACUGGUCAAGGGUGGCAUGCCUGAGUGGGACAGUAGAAGGCUGUUAUAUACCAACUUUAGACUUCAUUCACCCCUUAACUGACAGGGCACUGGAGGCUACAUGCUCGGUGAACCAGCCGAUUGUCAGUCUUGCAUCACUUAUCAUGCCCCUUUCUCAUACCGAUGUGCAGGUCGGACAUGAGGCAAUAAAAGCUUGGCCCACCAACCACAUGGCUCCUACCGCCCUGUCAGCGUAGAGGUGAAUGGAGCGUAGGGGCGGCAGAGUUGGUGGGGUCUGCCGAGUGCUUCUGGCGUAGCAGUUCGGCAGUGCCGAGCUGUUUGAAGUCAUCACAGAUAUAAACUGCCUGUUGCAGCAACUCACAAUCGCAUUCCUGCCCGUCAUGUCGAACAGCGGAGCGCUAAUUUCAGUUUGAGGUCUGCACUCUUACUACAAUGCAAAUGGUGACAGCAUCAGGCUGCACUCGGCUGACCCAUAAAUUUGCCCCUGCUCUGCAUUGCCCUGCAUGUUCGGGUCAGAUAAUGGUUCCUGUUGACCCGAUGGACUCCUUUGUUCUCUGCAUUCAUCAUAGGUUACAGUCGUGAAUCAUGAACCAAGACUGCACUCUUAGGCCCACUCCUUUUUGGUGGAUCGGGUCUUGCCAUCUUCACCUUUCGUGGCUUCCUGUCGUAAUUAAAUAAAUUGUCAUAUUUUUUUCUGAUGGUGGUGCAUACCUCAUGCCACACUUGACAAAAAUAGUGUGGUGAAUCCAUGCCUCGGAUUACUGUGAAACAUGCGAGAAGGUAAUUAUUGAGAAGAUUAAACUCCGAAAUGUUUGAUGGAAAGACGAUAGAUAUACCCCGUUUAAUAUUUCUGGCCACUUUAAGCAUGCUGUCCCCGAAGUAUUUCAGCCUAUCAUUGCAUCGGCUCUUGACCAUUCACACUUGCAAGGAAAGGCUAUCAGCAAGGGUUUC
RNAcentral lists this long non-coding RNA (1020 nucleotides) under Ixodes scapularis (black-legged tick). Its description in RNAcentral is "uncharacterized LOC121832948, transcript variant X1". Lineage: Eukaryota; Metazoa; Arthropoda; Arachnida; Ixodida; Ixodidae. The record is from RNAcentral.